AUCUAUGGCCAUAUCACCCUGGACACAUCUCCCCUCUGAUCUGAAGCCAAAGCAGGUUUGGGUAUGGUCAGUGCUGGGACAGGAGAAAGAGCACCCGUGCAGCUGUCUAAG
This 111-nucleotide ribosomal RNA is filed under the name Microtus ochrogaster (prairie vole). The record is from RNAcentral. Lineage: Eukaryota; Metazoa; Chordata; Mammalia; Rodentia; Cricetidae.